GUAAUAAAUAUAGCCUAACCAAUCAUUAUAUAAAAUAAUUUUUUUAAAUAUUAAAUAAAACAUUUUACCAUUUUAGUAUAGGAGAUAGAAAAAUUUAACUAGCGCAAUAGAAAUAGUACUGUAAAGGAAAAAUGAAAUAGAAAUUAAAUAAAACAUAAAAACAAUAAAAAGCAAAGACUUAACCUUUUACCUUUUGCAUCAUGGUCUAGUUAGUUUAACCUAGCACAAAGCACUUAAGUUAGAUAUCCCGAAACUAAGCGAGCUACUCCGAAGCAGCAAAACGAGCUAACCCUUCUCUGUGGCAAAAGAGUGGGACGACUUCUGAGUAGUGGUGAUAAACCUAUCGAGCCUAG
This 353-nucleotide ribosomal RNA is filed under the name Batrachuperus yenyuanensis (Yenyuan stream salamander). RNAcentral describes it as "partial 16S ribosomal RNA". The stretch from base 247 to 353 matches the Rfam family "Bacterial large subunit ribosomal RNA", at positions 714 to 842 of the family's 2925-position model. Lineage: Eukaryota; Metazoa; Chordata; Amphibia; Caudata; Hynobiidae. The record is from RNAcentral.